UGUUCCCAUACCGAACACAGAAGUUAAGCCUUCUAACGCCGAUGGUACUCGGAGGGAGACCUCCCGGGAGACUAGGUAGUUGCCAAAC
This 88-nucleotide ribosomal RNA is filed under the name Anaerococcus hydrogenalis. Lineage: Bacteria; Bacillati; Bacillota; Tissierellia; Tissierellales; Peptoniphilaceae. The record is from RNAcentral.